Molecule: ribosomal RNA, 492 nt
Filed under: uncultured bacterium
Lineage: Bacteria
Description: partial 16S ribosomal RNA
Rfam family: Bacterial small subunit ribosomal RNA
Source: RNAcentral
AGUGAACGCUGGCGGUAGGCCUAACACAUGCAAGUCGAACGGCAGCACAGUAAGAGCUUGCUCUUACGGGUGGCGAGUGGCGGACGGGUGAGGAAUACAUCGGAAUCUACUUUUUCGUGGGGGAUAACGUAGGGAAACUUACGCUAAUACCGCAUACGACCUACGGGUGAAAGCAGGGGAUCUUCGGACCUUGCGCGAUUGAAUGAGCCGAUGUCGGAUUAGCUAGUUGGCGGGGUAAAGGCCCACCAAGGCGACGAUCCGUAGCUGGUCUGAGAGGAUGAUCAGCCACACUGGAACUGAAACACGGUCCAGACUCCUACGGGAGGCAGCAGUGGGGAAUAUUGGACAAAGGGCGCAAGCCUGAUCCAGCCAUACCGAGUGGGUGAAGAAGGCCUUCGGGUUGUAAAGCCCUUUUGUUGGGAAAGAAAAGCAGCAGGUUAAUACCCCGCUGUUCUGACGGUACCCAAAGAAUAAGCACCGGCUAACUUCGUG